ACCAUUUUAAAGUAGUGGAAAGAUAAUAAUUUUAAUUAGGGUAGAUAUGGAAAAAAAUUAAAAAAUUGUCCAGCUAUAAAAAUUAAACAAUUUUAAUAAAUAAAAAUUUAGCCUAUUAAUAUAUAGCUGGCUCAUAAGAGUGCCAGCAGCCGCGGUUAUACUCUUAGCAAACUAUUAUAUAGCAUAAUCUUUUUCACUAAGUAAAAAUAAUUUUCUUUAUACUAGUAAAAUAGAUUAGAAUUUUUUUUCAAAAUUAUUAAUAAAUUAAUAUUUAAAAUAAGAUAAAGAAACUAGGAUUAGAUACCCUACUAUCCUUAAAGUAAUAAAAAGUAUUAUGGGCACUAACAUUUACUUAAAUGUAAACCCAAAUUUUAUGGCGGCAAUUAUAAUUAACAGGGGAACUUACCGCAUAAUAGACAACCACCAAGAAGAUAACCUUAAAAAAAAGUUUGUAUACCGUCGUAUAAUAAGUCCUUAGGGGGCUAAUAAAAUAUAAUAAAAUAUACUAUUACAGAUCAAGGUGCAACAUAUAUUAAGGCGCAGGCGAGUUACAGUAAUUAUCAUUUCGAAAUAGGCCUUUAACUGCCUAAGAAGAUGGACUUGUAAGUAUAUAUUAUUUUUCAUAAAAGUAGAAUGACCCAUAUAAUUGUGCACAAAUCGCCCGUCAUUCUCUUUAAUCUAAAAGAGACAAGUCGUAACAUAGUAGAGGUAGUGGAAGCUGCCUCUGUGUAGAUAUACUACAAAUUU
This 747-nucleotide ribosomal RNA is filed under the name Arion vulgaris. RNAcentral describes it as "12S ribosomal RNA". Lineage: Eukaryota; Metazoa; Mollusca; Gastropoda; Stylommatophora; Arionidae. The record is from RNAcentral.